Molecule: ribosomal RNA, 506 nt
Filed under: uncultured bacterium
Lineage: Bacteria
Description: bacterial SSU rRNA
Rfam family: Bacterial small subunit ribosomal RNA
Source: RNAcentral
AUUAUGGCUCAGGAUGAACGCUGGCGGCGUGCCUAACACAUGCAAGUCGAACGAAGCACUUUCGAUCGGAGAUCGUCGAAGAUUGGAUUGACUUAGUGGCGGACGGGUGAGUAAUGUAUGAGCAACCUGCCUUUCAGAGGGGGACAACAGUUGGAAACGACUGCUAAUACCGCAUAAUGUAUUGAGACGGCAUCGUCAUGAUACCAAAGGAGCAAUUCGCUGAAAGAUGGGCUCAUAUCUGAUUAGUUAGUUGGCAGGGUAACGGCCUACCAAGACUGCGAUCAGUAGCCGGACUGAGAGGUUGAACAGCCACAUUGGGACUGAGAUACGGCCCAGACUCCUACGGGAGGCAGCAGUGGGGAAUAUUGGGCAAUGGGCGAAAGCCCUGACCCAGCAACGCCGCGUGAAGGAAGAAGGUCUUCGGAUUGUAAACUUCUUUUAUGAGGGACGAAGGACGUGACGGUACCUCAUGAAUAAGCCACGGCUAACUACGUGCCAGCCGCCGC